AAUCCGAUAAGCUGGCACCGGUAGGCCGUGUGAUCGUCACCGGCGAAUAGGGGAUCGCGCGUAUAAAAACGUACGCGUUAUGCGUACCUGUCCGUCCAAUGGGGUGGCUUCGCGAACCGGAAAGGGGGAAGAUCGAACUGGAUUAUCGAGCGGCGAACCAUGGAACGAGGUACGAAAACGUAGGGGGGAGGGAAGAAGACGAUGAAAAAGUGAAGAAGCAGAGAGGCAAGAAUCGACAAGAAGCACGGUUCGAGAACGCACUGGGGAAAACGAAACGAAGAGGACGAGCCGGUUCGAUCGAGCAUCCAUUGGAAUCGAAUUGAUAUUUAAAAGUCAUCGUUACUGUACGUGAGGAACGCUGUUAAAAGAAGAAAAAGAAAAUUGAAUCUCAAUGCGUCCUGUAUUGUACUCGAAAGAGCAAGAAUCGCCGGUCCAUACGAAAUGAAGACUAAAGAGUGCAACGAAUGAGAAUGGAUUCUUCUUAGAGAGCCACACCCUGGCGCACAGGUUAAAAAAAGCAAGAAGAACAGACGACGAUCGAUCGAUGUUAGCUCGAGACGACCGGUUUUCGAUAGAAACAAAGAACAUGAAAUUUGCAUGAAGAAACCAGCUCUUGUGAGAAACAACGGAGUAAGAUGAAGGGGGGGAGGAGGAGGAGAGAAAGGCGAGUGUGGCGAGAAAUUAUAAUAAGGAAUCGAUUGUCGAUCGAUUUGCUCUGUUUUCGAGGCUGGACGAGUAUUCAUCCACCUACGGAAUGGUCGAGUGUACAAGUCGAAAUCGCGGGUAGGAAGGUCGGCCAUCAGGAAUUCCACGCACGGCCUCCACCUUCGUUUCUCCCGCCAACGAAUCGUGUCUUCUCCCCCUUGUCUCAUUUCGCCAGAGAACACAACCAGAUAACCGGACGUAAUAAACACACGGACAUAAUUAUUCGGACACUGUAGUCCCUUCGACUUGUACACUUGGGAUACUUGGCUUACAAUGAUAAUUUCAGUCUUUUAAUUAUACAGUGUUUUAGAAAUUCUACAAAGUAUACCAAAACAUAUAGGGAGAAACGAAUGGAAUAAUUUAAAUAAAUAUACAUUUACAAUU
Molecule: RNA transcript, 1089 nt
Organism: Frieseomelitta varia
Lineage: Eukaryota; Metazoa; Arthropoda; Insecta; Hymenoptera; Apidae
Exons: 2
Source: RefSeq, a predicted model, not a curated record